CCUCCCACCAGGACCCGACACGCCGCCCUUUGUGACCACCGCGACCCUGGCCCCCUGCCUUCUCCGGAGAAGAGGCGAUGUCUGGCAGGCAUGUACUGCUGCUGCGCUGGUUCCUACACUGAAGAUGGUGUGACACAGCCCGCCUGUGAAAAGAUCAGAGCUCCGGGGACUUGGAACAUCGUGGCCAUCUGAGUAGAAGGCGGUUGCUUGUUCUCUGUGGUUUCAUGCUUUCCCUUGAGGGCAGAAGCCAUGUCCUGAGAACAGCAGAUGGCGAUUAAUAUUCAAGGUAUCAGCCUACGAAAAGGAGACAGUCUGAUGGGGAAAACCGCAUGAAGCAAGGCUACGGGGCUACAGACUCCGGAAGAUCUUUUACUUCUGCCUGUAACUUCACAUGUGCUUCUGAAAUUUCCCCUGUAUGUUUAUCUCUCUGUGUGUUUAUCUCAUGAACACAUUCUGUUCUACUGGGCAUUUUAUCUGUGGAUUGCCAGAAGAUGACUCUUCCUUAAGCUGUAUUGUCAAACUGAUACAAAUAAUGUUAACUUACACAGAGUUUGAUGAAUAAAAAUGGACACAAAGA
This is a long non-coding RNA of Microtus ochrogaster (prairie vole), 577 nucleotides long. RefSeq lists it as uncharacterized. The record is from RefSeq and is a predicted model, not a curated record. Lineage: Eukaryota; Metazoa; Chordata; Mammalia; Rodentia; Cricetidae.